AAUAGAUACCCAGGUAGUCCACCCCGUAAACGUUGGGAACUAGUUGUGGGGUCCUUUCCACGGAUUCCGUGACGCAGCUAACGCAUUAAGUUCCCCGCCUGGGGAGUACGGCCGCAAGGCUAAAACUCAAAGGAAUUGACGGGGACCCACACAAGCGGCGGAGCAUGCGGAUUAAUUCGAUGCAACGCGAAGAACCUUACCAAGGCUUGACAUACACCAGAACACCCUGGAAACAGGGGACUCUUUGGACACUGGUGAACAGGUGGUGCAUGGUUGUCGUCAGCUCGUGUCGUGAGAUGUUGGGUUAAGUCCCGCAACGAGCGCAACCCUCGUUCUAUGUUGCCAGCACGUUAUGGUGGGAACUCAUGGGAUACUGCCGGGGUCAACUCGGAGGAAGGUGGGGAUGACGUCAAAUCAUCAUGCCCCUUAUGUCUUGGGCUUCACGCAUGCUACAAUGGCCGGUACAAUGGGCUGCGAUACCGUAAGGUGGAGCGAAUCCCAAAAAGCCGGUCCCAGUUCGGAUUGAGGUCUGCAACUCGA
This 540-nucleotide ribosomal RNA is filed under the name uncultured bacterium. RNAcentral describes it as "bacterial SSU rRNA". It matches the Rfam family "Bacterial small subunit ribosomal RNA", at positions 777 to 1315 of the family's 1533-position model. The record is from RNAcentral.